GACGAACGCUGGCGGCGUGCUUAACACAUGCAAGUCGAACGGAAAGGCCCUGCUUUUGUGGGGUGCUCGAGUGGCGAACGGGUGAGUAACACGUGAGUAACCUGCCCUUGACUUUGGGAUAACUUCAGGAAACUGGGGCUAAUACCGGAUAGGAGCUCCUGCUGCAUGGUGGGGGUUGGAAAGUUUCGGCGGUUGGGGAUGGACUCGCGGCUUAUCAGCUUGUUGGUGGGGUAGUGGCUUACCAAGGCUUUGACGGGUAGCCGGCCUGAGAGGGUGACCGGCCACAUUGGGACUGAGAUACGGCCCAGACGCCUACGGGAGGCAGCAGUGGGGAAUAUUGCACAAUGGGCGGAAGCCUGAUGCAGCAACGCCGCGUGCGGGAUGACGGCCUGCGGGUUGUAAACCGCUUUCGCCUGUGACGAAGCGUGAGUGACGGUAAUGGGUAAAGAAGCACCGGCUAACUACGUG
RNAcentral lists this ribosomal RNA (468 nucleotides) under uncultured bacterium. Its description in RNAcentral is "partial 16S ribosomal RNA". It matches the Rfam family "Bacterial small subunit ribosomal RNA", at positions 28 to 507 of the family's 1533-position model. The record is from RNAcentral.